Monodelphis domestica (gray short-tailed opossum) is the source of this 1669-nucleotide non-coding RNA. The record is from RefSeq and is a predicted model, not a curated record. Lineage: Eukaryota; Metazoa; Chordata; Mammalia; Didelphimorphia; Didelphidae.
CCUGACUGCUCUUCCGUCUUAGAACUGAUACUAAGACAGACAGCGAGUAUUCGAAGGAGGAGGAAGAAUGUUUAAGUGAAAAUGUCAUCCCCAUUUUACAGCCCCCCAAAUGAUGUGCUUGCAGAAGCUGGACUGGCAUGAUGCCAGGGCAUGCAGUGCAGGGCACUGCAUCAGUGCUGACUGGCUUGAAGCAGAUGAAAUCCAUUGUACAGAUGAAGAAACUGAGGCCCAGAAACAGGCAUCUCCCAGGGAUGGAGCGGCCCCCCAAAGGCAGGCGGGGACAGAGCCGGGGCUCACUCUCUCCCCAGUGCGGCCAGCAGGCUCUAAAACCCGGGCCUGGCGGCUAUCAGGGGCCUCUACGGCCUUCCUGAGGCUGGAAAAACAGGAGCCGUUAUUAGUCACUGUUAGUCAUGCGUGUGCCUCCUCCAAGCUCUGCCAGGGGGCCACUGAGCCCAUGCUGGGCACCGAGCCACUGGCCCCACCCUCAUCCGGGAACUUGACCCACCUGCAGGGGCGCCCCACCCGGACAGAGAGCGACAUUAACAGACAGAGGGCCAGGGGGCGGGUGGGGGCAGGGCGGGAGGCCUUGGCCCCCUUCCCUCCCCACAGCCCUCUCCUAGGCCUGCCCUGAAUCUCCUCACUGACCCACAAAAUGCAGUCCUGUGGGCUCGGAGCAGGACUUUCUUCUGGAAUUGCUCUUUCUGUGUCUUUAAUCUUCUCCUUUCAGAUGUCCGCUAGGUUUAUUUUUGCCCCUCGCUUCUAUUGUGCACUCAUUAGGGCUAUUUGGCAUUUGUUCAUCAUUCCUGCAUUUCCAUUGUGGGGCGCCAUUUUGACUGUUUACAUCCGGGUACUUUGCACUUGUCGUCAGUGUGUCCAUCUCUUGGACUGUUAGUGUAGCUGCACUGUGCGUGGCUGGCUCCCAUUAGCGGUAUUCACUAUCUCGGCGUCUUUAUUCUUUUUGCGCCUCCAGGCCCUUUGCCUGGCGCUGCUGCAGGACGGCUGGGGCAGAGAUCCUAGAGCAAGACUGUCAGAGCCCCUCUGUGGGGAUCCCCAAGGAGUGCCGUCUGCAUUGGGGGGGGGGCGCGCUUCACCCCUAGACUCUGCGGGGCUCCCCUCGCUGUGGCUGUGGGAGGCUCUCCUGGUUCUGCUCGCUUCGCAUCCCUCCAUGGUAGUCUCAGAUUUUCCACCAUCAUCCCCAAAGGGGGAGUUCUUUCUGGCAGCCCCGGGGACAGCUGGGUCCCUGGGGGUGGGGGGAGGCAACGUGGGUGGCUCUGUUGUGCAGUGGGAAGUGCUGACCGAGGAGUCAGAGAACCCAGGUGUAGAUCCCAUUUCCAGGACUGCCUGUGUGACCCUGGUCUUGUCACUAGCCCACCCUGGUAGCUUCCCCUGUGCCUGGGGGUCCUCCAGAUCAGAGAAGGAUCCAAGGCGGAGCCGUGCCCCAGGGUGAACCCGGCUCGUCACCGUCAUGGACACCGGCAGACAUCGGACUCCUCCUGGACCACUUUGGGUGGCCCAUCUCCGGCCCAGGGGUGGAGGGGGGAGCCCGAGAGCUGGUCAUGAGGGGCUGGCCCAGCCUACAGCUCCCGAAUGGAGAUUCUGUGUCAUUCUUUUAUCCUUGAAACCGCAGGGCCCAGCAUACAGUAGGGGCUAAAUAAAUGCAGAUUUCUAC